CCUCUUGCACUGAGAUGCAGUGCCUUAGACCGCUGUGCCACUCGGGAGCAAAAAACAAACAUAUUUUUGUUAAAUCCUGCCUACUCGAAUGACCCUGGUGCCAUGGCCCGAACUUGCAAGCUAGCUAACUUUACAGCCACCAGAAACAAACACAGAGCAGACAAAGUCAACAAGCUAGAUAACGUGUUUGCAGAUAAACUGCCCUUGUAGCAGGGACAAAAGAAACAAGUAUCGUUCUCCGUUCUGAAUCAACUCGAUCCCCAAAAGAUAAAAAGAAGCAAGAAAAAUAUGGCUCAUGCCCAAGCCGGAUAAACAUUGGAAUGAAUUUUGAAAGGUGGAGGAGUGAUACCAAAAUGGCCACCAUUCUCAUGGACUGGUAGGACCACCACUAGCUAUUCUCAGGGAGAUACUGGUGAAGAAAAUCUGAUUUAGAGGGAACCGGAGGCUGUACAAGUUGUGGUUGUGCAAACCCCAACACAGGAGGAGAGGAGAACUUGGACAUAGAUGAUGACGAACAUCCUAACCCUUCAACUACAUUACAUGCGUUGCCAUGGCUUUCCCACCUUUCACCCCCUACUAGUAGGUCCAAGCCAUCCUUUGCAUUAUAUGCCAAGAGUGUGCAAAGCUGUCAUCAAGGCUACUUUGAAGAAUCUCAAAUAUAAAUCAUAUUUUGAUUU
This is a long non-coding RNA of Oncorhynchus tshawytscha (Chinook salmon), 677 nucleotides long. RefSeq lists it as uncharacterized. NCBI's taxonomy places the organism in Eukaryota, Metazoa, Chordata, Actinopteri, Salmoniformes, Salmonidae. The record is from RefSeq and is a predicted model, not a curated record. The transcript has 4 exons.